GACGAACGCUGGCGGCGUGCUUAACACAUGCAAGUCGAACGGAAAGGCCCUGCUUUUGUGGGGUGCUCGAGUGGCGAACGGGUGAGUAACACGUGAGUAACCUGCUCCCGACUUUGGGAUAACUUCAGGAAAAUGGGGCAACUACUGGAUAGGAGCUUCUGCUGCAUGGUGGGGGUUGGCUAGUUUCGGCGGUUGGGGAUGGACGCGCGGCUGAUCAGCUGGUUGGUGGGGUAGUGGCUCACCAAGGCUUUGACGGGUAGCCGGCCUGAGAGGGUGACCGGCCACAUUGGGACUGAGGGACGGCCCAGACUGCAACGUGGGGCAGCAGGGGGAAAUAUUGCGCAAUGGGCGGAAGCCUGAGGCAGCAGCGCCGCGGGCGGGAUGACGGCCUUGGGGUGGUAAACCGCUUUCGCCUGUGACGAAGCGUGAGUGACGGUAAUGGGUAAAGAAGCACCGGCUAACUACGUG
This 468-nucleotide ribosomal RNA is filed under the name uncultured bacterium. RNAcentral's name for it is "partial 16S ribosomal RNA". It matches the Rfam family "Bacterial small subunit ribosomal RNA", at positions 28 to 507 of the family's 1533-position model. The record is from RNAcentral.